Molecule: ribosomal RNA, 405 nt
Filed under: Wolbachia endosymbiont of Pithauria stramineipennis
Lineage: Bacteria; Pseudomonadati; Pseudomonadota; Alphaproteobacteria; Rickettsiales; Anaplasmataceae
Also listed under: 2 other names
Description: partial 16S ribosomal RNA
Rfam family: Bacterial small subunit ribosomal RNA
Source: RNAcentral
UGGGGAAUUUUCCGCAAUGGGCGCAAGCCUGACGGAGCAAUACCGCGUGAGGGAUGACGGCCUUUGGGUUGUAAACCUCUUUUAUCAAGGAGGAAGUUCUGACGUGUACUUGAUGAAUAAGCAUCGGCUAACUCCGUGCCAGCAGCCGCGGUAAGACGGAGGAUGCAAGUGUUAUCCGGAAUCACUGGGCGUAAAGCGUCUGUAGGUGGUUUAAAAAGUCUACUGUUAAAAAUUGAAGCUUAACUUCAAAGAUGCCGUAGAAACUUUUAAACUCGAGGAUGGUAGGGGUAGAGGGAAUUUCCAGUGGAGCGGUGAAAUGCGUAGAUCUUGGAAAGACCACCAAUGGCGAAGGCACUCUACUGGGCCAUUACUGACACUAAGAGACGAAAGCUAGGGGAGCAAAUG